Molecule: ribosomal RNA, 498 nt
Filed under: uncultured bacterium
Lineage: Bacteria
Description: partial 16S ribosomal RNA
Rfam family: Bacterial small subunit ribosomal RNA
Source: RNAcentral
AUUGAACGCUGGCGGCAUGCUUUACACAUGCAAGUCGAACGGUAACAGGCCGCAAGGUGCUGACGAGUGGCGAACGGGUGAGUAAUGCAUCGGAACGUGCCCAGUCGUGGGGGAUAACGCAGCGAAAGCUGUGCUAAUACCGCAUACGAUCUAUGGAUGAAAGCGGGGGACCGUAAGGCCUCGCGCGAUUGGAGCGGCCGAUGUCAGAUUAGCUAGUUGGUGGGGUAAAGGCCCACCAAGGCGACGAUCUGUAGCUGGUCUGAGAGGACGACCAGCCACACUGGGACUGAGACACGGCCCAGACUCCUACGGGAGGCAGCAGUGGGGAAUUUUGGACAAUGGGCGCAAGCCUGAUCCAGCAAUGCCGCGUGCAGGAAGAAGGCCUUCGGGUUGUAAACUGCUUUUGUACGGAACGAAACGGCCUGGGUUAAUACCCUGGGCUAAUGACGGUACCGUAAGAAUAAGCACCGGCUAACUACGUGCCAGCAGCCGCGGUAA